UGGCGGACGGGUGAGUAAUGUCUGGGAAACUGCCUGAUGGAGGGGGAGUAACUACUGGAAACGGUAGCUAAUACCGCAUAACGUCGCAAGACCAAAGAGGGGGACCUUCGGGCCUCUUGCCAUCGGAUGCGCCCAGAUGGGAUUAGCUAGUAGGUGGGGUAACGGCUCACCUAGGCGACGAUCCCUAGCUGGUCUGAGAGGAUGACCAGCCACACUGGAACUGAGACACGGUCCAGACUCCUACGGGAGGCAGCAUG
RNAcentral lists this ribosomal RNA (257 nucleotides) under uncultured bacterium. Its description in RNAcentral is "partial 16S ribosomal RNA". It matches the Rfam family "Bacterial small subunit ribosomal RNA", at positions 96 to 353 of the family's 1533-position model. The record is from RNAcentral.